This 464-nucleotide ribosomal RNA is filed under the name uncultured bacterium. RNAcentral's name for it is "bacterial SSU rRNA". It matches the Rfam family "Bacterial small subunit ribosomal RNA", at positions 338 to 795 of the family's 1533-position model. The record is from RNAcentral.
CCUACGGGGGGCUGCAGUCGAGAAUCAUUCACAAUGGGCGAAAGCUUGAUGGUGUGACGCCGCGUGGAGGAUGAAGGUCUUCGGAUUGUAAACUCCUGUCAUGUGAGAGUAAAGCCGGGUCUUAACUGGAUGCCGGUUUGAGAGUAUCACAAGAGGAAGAGGCGGCUAACUCUGUGCCAGCAGCCGCGGUAAUACAGAGGCCUCAAGCGUUGUUCGGAAUCACUGGGCGUAAAGGGUGCGUAGACGGCGCGGAAAGUCAGGGGUGAAAUCCCGGAGCUCAACUCCGGAACUGCCUUUGAUACUCCCGCGCUUGAGAACUGGAGGGGACAUCGGAAUUCACGGUGGAGCAGUGAAAUGCGUGGAUAUCGUGAGGAACACUAGUGGCGAAGGCGGAUGUCUGGACAGUAUCUGACGCUGAGGCACGAAGGCCAGGGGAGCGAACGGGAUUAGAUACCCGAGUAGUC